RNAcentral lists this transfer RNA (86 nucleotides) under Manihot esculenta (cassava). It matches the Rfam family "tRNA". Rfam says of the family: Transfer RNA (tRNA) molecules are approximately 80 nucleotides in length. The record is from Rfam by way of RNAcentral. Lineage: Eukaryota; Viridiplantae; Streptophyta; Magnoliopsida; Malpighiales; Euphorbiaceae.
CCGACCUUAGCUCAGUUGGUAGAGCGGAGGACUGUAGUAAUGAUGCUGAAAUCCUUAGGUCGCUGGUUCGAAUCCGGCAGGUCGGA